GAUGAACGCUAGCGGCAGGCCUAAUACAUGCAAGCCGAACGGCAAGCCUUGUAGCAAUACGAGGCCUAGAGUGGCGCAAGGGUGCGUAACACGUAUGCAAUCUGCCCACAACAGGAGGACAGCUCCCCGAAAGGGGAAUUAACCCUCCAUGGGACCACACGAGGGCAUCCGAGAGUGGUUAAACCAAAAGGGGUUGUGGAUGGGCAUGCGGUUGAUUAGCUGGUUGGAGGGUAACGGCCUACCAAGGCGAUGAUCAAUAGGGGAACUGAGAGGUUUGUCCCCCACACUGGCACUGAGA
This 298-nucleotide ribosomal RNA is filed under the name uncultured bacterium. RNAcentral describes it as "partial 16S ribosomal RNA". It matches the Rfam family "Bacterial small subunit ribosomal RNA", at positions 28 to 324 of the family's 1533-position model. The record is from RNAcentral.